GUUCGCCGCCCACGACUCGGCGAGAAGUCCAUUGAACCUUAUCAUUUAGAGGAAGGAGAAGUCGUAACAAGGUUUCCGUAGGUGAACCUGCGGAAGGAUCAUUG
RNAcentral lists this ribosomal RNA (104 nucleotides) under Ionopsis minutiflora. Its description in RNAcentral is "partial 18S ribosomal RNA". It matches the Rfam family "Eukaryotic small subunit ribosomal RNA", at positions 1728 to 1831 of the family's 1831-position model. Lineage: Eukaryota; Viridiplantae; Streptophyta; Magnoliopsida; Asparagales; Orchidaceae. The record is from RNAcentral.